This 253-nucleotide ribosomal RNA is filed under the name uncultured bacterium. RNAcentral describes it as "partial 16S ribosomal RNA". It matches the Rfam family "Bacterial small subunit ribosomal RNA", at positions 524 to 776 of the family's 1533-position model. The record is from RNAcentral.
UACGUAGGGGGCUAGCGUUGUCCGGAAUCAUUGGGCGUAAAGCGCGUGUAGGCGGUCCGGUAAGUCCGCUGUGAAAGUCGGGGGCUCAACCCUCGAAUGCCGGUGGAUACUGUCGGGCUAGAGUGCGGAAGAGGCGAGUGGAAUCCCUGGUGUAGCGGUGAAAUGCGCAGAUAUCAGGAGGAACACCAAUUGCGAAGGCAGCUCGCUGGGACGUUACUGACGCUGAGACGCGAAAGCGUGGGGAGCAAACAGG